UAUUGGUGGCGACCGGCGCACGGGUGCGUAACGCGUAUGCAACCUACCUUUAACAGGGGCAUAACACUGAGAAAUUGGUACUAAUUCCCCAUAACAUUCGAGAAGGCAUCUUCUUGGGUUAAAAACUCCGGUGGUUAAAGAUGGGCAUGCGUUGUAUUAGCUAGUUGGUGAGGUAACGGCUCACCAAGGCAACGAUACAUAGGGGGACUGAGAGGUUAACCCCCCACAUUGGUACUGAGACACGGACCAA
Molecule: ribosomal RNA, 250 nt
Filed under: uncultured bacterium
Lineage: Bacteria
Description: partial 16S ribosomal RNA
Rfam family: Bacterial small subunit ribosomal RNA
Source: RNAcentral